RNAcentral lists this ribosomal RNA (510 nucleotides) under uncultured bacterium. RNAcentral's name for it is "partial 16S ribosomal RNA". It matches the Rfam family "Bacterial small subunit ribosomal RNA", at positions 28 to 507 of the family's 1533-position model. The record is from RNAcentral.
GACGAACGCUGGCGGCGUGCUUAACACAUGCAAGUCGAACGAGGAGCGAUGGAAGCUUGCUUCUAUCAAUCUUAGUGGCGGACGGGUGAGUAACGCGUAAUCAACCUGCCCUUCAGAGGGGGACAACAGUUGGAAACGACUGCUAAUACCGCAUACGAUCUAAUCUCGGCGUCGAGGAUAGAUGAAAGGUGGCCUCUACAUGUAAGCUAUCACUGAAGGAGGGGGUUGCGUCUGUUUAGCUAGUUGGAGGGGUAACGGCGCACCAAGGCGAUGAUCAGUAGCCGGUCGGAGAGGAUGAGCGGACACAGUGGGACGGAGACACGGCCCAGACGCCUACGGGAGGGAGCAGUGGGGAAUCGUCCGCAAUGGACGAAAGUCUGACGAAGCAACGCCGCGGGAGUGAUGACGGCCGUCGUGUUGUAAAGCUCUGUUAAUCGGGACGAAAGGCCUUCUUGCGAAUAGUGAGAAGGAUUGACGGUACCGGAAUAGAAAGCCACGGCUAACUACGUG